UGGGGAUAUUGCGCAAUGGAGGAAACUCUGACGCAGCAACGCCGCGUGAAGGAAGAAGGCUUUCGGGUUGUAAACUUUUGUCUUCAGGGAAGAAUAAAUGACGGUACCUGAGGAGGAAGCCACGGCUAACUACGUGCCAGCAGCCGCGGUAAUACGUAGGUGGCGAGCGUUGUCCGGAAUUACUGGGUGUAAAGGGUGCGUAGGCGGGUUAUAAAGUCAGAUGUGAAAUACCGAGGCUUAACUUCGGGGCUGCAUUUGAAACUUAUGAUCUUGAGUGAGGUAGAGGCAAGCGGAAUUCCCAGUGUAGCGGUGAAAUGCGUAGAUAUUGGGAGGAACACCAGUGGCGAAGGCGGCUUGCUGGGCCUUAACUGACGCUGAGGCACGAAAGCAUGGGGAGCAAAC
This 402-nucleotide ribosomal RNA is filed under the name uncultured bacterium. Its description in RNAcentral is "bacterial SSU rRNA". It matches the Rfam family "Bacterial small subunit ribosomal RNA", at positions 356 to 773 of the family's 1533-position model. The record is from RNAcentral.